Molecule: ribosomal RNA, 460 nt
Filed under: uncultured bacterium
Lineage: Bacteria
Description: partial 16S ribosomal RNA
Rfam family: Bacterial small subunit ribosomal RNA
Source: RNAcentral
CCUACGGGUGGCAGCAGUGAGGGAUAUUGGUCAAUGGGCGGAAGCCUGAACCAGCCAAGUAGCGUGCAGGAUGACGGCCCUACGGGUUGUAAACUGCUUUUAUACGGGAAUAACGCGCCUUACGUGUAGGGCUUUGCAUGUACCGUAUGAAUAAGGAACGGCUAAUUCCGUGCCAGGAGCCGCGGUAACACGGAAGGUCCGGGCGUUAUCCGGAUUUAUUGGGGUUAAAGGGAGCGUAGGCCGGGUGACAAGCGUGCCGUGAAAUGUCCGGGCUCAACCCGGGCCUUGCGGCGCGAACUGGCGGGCUUGAGUCCGCGGAAGGCAGGCGGAAUGCGUGGUGUAGCGGUGAAAUGCUUAGAUAUGACGAAGAACCCCGAUUGCGAAGGCAGCUUGCUGCAGCGGAACUGACGCUGAUGCUCGAAAGCGCGGGUAUCGAACAGGAUUAGAUACCCCAGUAGUC